Molecule: ribosomal RNA, 247 nt
Filed under: uncultured bacterium
Lineage: Bacteria
Description: partial 16S ribosomal RNA
Rfam family: Bacterial small subunit ribosomal RNA
Source: RNAcentral
AUACGUAGGUGGCAAGCGUUGUCCGGAUUCAUUGGGUUUAAAGGGUGCGCAGGCGGAUUGGUAAGUCAGGGGUGAAAUCCCACAGCUCAACUGUGGAACUGCCUUUCGAACUGUCCGACUAGAGUCUUGUAGAGGGGGGUAGAAUUCCAGGUGUAGCGGUGAAAUCCGUAGAUAUCCGGAGGAACACCGGUGGCGAAGGCGGCCACCUGGACAGGUACUGACGCUGAGGCGCGAAAGCGUGGGGAGC